AUGAACGCUGGCGGCGUGCCUAAUACAUGCAAGUCGAGCGAACAGACGAGGAGCUUGCUCCUCUGACGUUAGCGGCGGACGGGUGAGUAACACGUGGAUAACCUACCUAUAAGACUGGGAUAACUUCGGGAAACCGGAGCUAAUACCGGAUAAUAUAUUGAACCGCAUGGUUCAAUAGUGAAAGACGGUUUUGCUGUCACUUAUAGAUGGAUCCGCGCCGCAUUAGCUAGUUGGUAAGGUAACGGCUUACCAAGGCAACGAUGCGUAGCCGACCUGUGAGGGUGAUCGGCCACACUGGAACUGAGACACGGUCCAGACUCCUACGGGCGGCAGCAGUAGGGAAUCUUCCGCAAUGGGCGAACGCCUGACGGAGCAACGCCGCGUGAGUGAUGAAGGUCUUCGGAUCGUAAAACUCUGUUAUUAGGGAAGAACAAAUGUGUAAGUAACUAUGCACGUCUUGACGGUACCUAAUCAGAAAGCCACGGCUAACUACGUG
This 496-nucleotide ribosomal RNA is filed under the name uncultured bacterium. RNAcentral describes it as "partial 16S ribosomal RNA". It matches the Rfam family "Bacterial small subunit ribosomal RNA", at positions 29 to 507 of the family's 1533-position model. The record is from RNAcentral.